This 73-nucleotide transfer RNA is filed under the name Ovis aries (sheep). It matches the Rfam family "tRNA". From Rfam's summary of the family: Transfer RNA (tRNA) molecules are approximately 80 nucleotides in length. Lineage: Eukaryota; Metazoa; Chordata; Mammalia; Artiodactyla; Bovidae. The record is from Rfam by way of RNAcentral.
UCCCUGGUGGUUGAGUCGCUAAGACUCUAUGCUCCUGAUGCAGAGAGCCCAGGUUCGAUCCCUGAUCAGGGGA